Molecule: non-coding RNA, 29 nt
Filed under: Mus musculus (house mouse)
Lineage: Eukaryota; Metazoa; Chordata; Mammalia; Rodentia; Muridae
Source: RNAcentral
UGAAAAUGAUUGUCCAUGAGAAAGAGUGA